AUGAUUUUGAUUUUGAUUAAUUUUGAAUUAAUUGAGAUUUACAAAAAAAACUGAAACUGAGAAAGUGGAAAACAUCCCAAUUUUGACAAAAAGAAGGUGUUUCCUCCUUAAAUCACCACUUAGCCAAUUAUCUUCAUGAUCUGAGUUGAAUAAAACUCUUCAUUUUGAUAGAAGGUGUAAGGUUUUUUGCUAUUGAAAUUAGUUUCUGUAGAAAAGUUUAUUCAUCAUCUUCAAAUUUUUUUUCCUUCAUAAAUUUACUUCAAUUUGAAGUUCCGCCACUCAAAUUCAAGGCUAAGAAUAGUAGAAAAGAUCUCUGUAGUUCACUGUUGAAUUGGAGCUGAAACCACGUGAAGAGCAGCUUGGAAUUGGGGAAAUUCAUCUAAGAUCCUAACAGUCAUAGACUCGAAAACUAACUAUAAGCUGCUAUUGGGAUGUCAUGGAUUCAUGGAAAUGGGGUCAUAACAUCAACACUACAUCAAUAUUUCAAGUUCAAUCAAAAUGGGAUUAGGAAAUUUGAAGUAGACUCUAAUCCAUUUUCAGAAGCUAAGUCUCACUUCGUAGAUGUGAAGUUUUAUUUGAAGAGUGGGGGUGUUAGUGAGGCAAUACAUGUGGAGACUCUAUUAAUAAAAAUAUGGAGGUGAAUCCAAGUCAAAAUCACAAGCAGAUGUAGGGAAAGAAAUAGACGACAAGGCACGAGCCUCUGAUCUUGCGCUAUGUUCCUUUUAUAUGUCUCUACAGUCGAGUGCUUCACUAAUCUCUUGUCUUCGACGCUCAAAAUAUAGUAUUGUGCGAUAAAAUAUUAGCCUAACCAAAGAAGUAAUUGGUAAUAUUCUAGCACCUUUGAAAAUAGCAUUUAUGCAUUCAGGUGCAUUGCUUGUCAUCUACCCAUAGCGGUACCCACUGUCAUGUGAUUGGGUCCAUUUUUUCAAGUCAAUAUCAGAAAAAUAUUCAAGGCAUUCAGGGUUCAAUUGUUUCAAUUCUUUCAUGUA
Non-coding RNA from Benincasa hispida (wax gourd), 989 nucleotides. NCBI's taxonomy places the organism in Eukaryota, Viridiplantae, Streptophyta, Magnoliopsida, Cucurbitales, Cucurbitaceae. The record is from RefSeq and is a predicted model, not a curated record.